RNAcentral lists this ribosomal RNA (445 nucleotides) under uncultured bacterium. RNAcentral's name for it is "partial 16S ribosomal RNA". It matches the Rfam family "Bacterial small subunit ribosomal RNA", at positions 354 to 796 of the family's 1533-position model. The record is from RNAcentral.
GUGAGGAAUAUUGGACAAUGGGCGCAAGCCUGAUCCAGCCAUGCCGCGUGCAGGAAGACGCAUCUAUGGUGUGUAAACUGCUUUUGUACGGGAAGAAACACUCCCUCGUGAGGUAGCUUGACGGUACCGUAAGAAUAAGGAUCGGCUAACUCCGUGCCAGCAGCCGCGGUAAUACGGAGGAUCCAAGCGUUAUCCGGAAUCAUUGGGUUUAAAGGGUCCGUAGGCGGUUUAAUAAGUCAGUGGUGAAAGCCCAUCGCUCAACGAUGGAACGGCCAUUGAUACUGUUAGACUUGAAUUACAAGGAAGUAACUAGAAUAUGUAGUGUAGCGGUGAAAUGCUUAGAUAUUACAUGGAAUACCAAUUGCGAAGGCAGGUUACUACUUGUGGAUUGACGCUGAUGGACGAAAGCGUGGGGAGCGAACAGGAUUAGAAACCCCGGUAGUCC